This 164-nucleotide ribosomal RNA is filed under the name Jurinea dumulosa. Its description in RNAcentral is "5.8S ribosomal RNA". It matches the Rfam family "5.8S ribosomal RNA". Rfam says of the family: 5.8S ribosomal RNA (5.8S rRNA) is a component of the large subunit of the eukaryotic ribosome. It is transcribed by RNA polymerase I as part of the 45S precursor that also contains 18S and 28S rRNA. The record is from RNAcentral. Lineage: Eukaryota; Viridiplantae; Streptophyta; Magnoliopsida; Asterales; Asteraceae.
AAACGACUCUCGGCAACGGAUAUCUCGGCUCACGCAUCGAUGAAGAACGUAGCAAAAUGCGAUACUUGGUGUGAAUUGCAGAAUCCCGUGAACCAUCGAGUUUUUGAACGCAAGUUGCGCCCGAAGCCAUUCGGCCGAGGGCACGYCUGCCUGGGCGUCACGCA